This 71-nucleotide transfer RNA is filed under the name Cyprinella spiloptera (spotfin shiner). RNAcentral describes it as "tRNA-Thr". The record is from RNAcentral. Lineage: Eukaryota; Metazoa; Chordata; Actinopteri; Cypriniformes; Leuciscidae.
GCCCUAGUAGCUUAGUUUUUAAACGUCGGUCUUGUAAUCCGAAGAGCGAGGUUAAACCCCCUCCUAGCCCC